RNAcentral lists this ribosomal RNA (1396 nucleotides) under Brenneria salicis. RNAcentral describes it as "bacterial SSU rRNA". It matches the Rfam family "Bacterial small subunit ribosomal RNA". The record is from RNAcentral. Lineage: Bacteria; Pseudomonadati; Pseudomonadota; Gammaproteobacteria; Enterobacterales; Pectobacteriaceae.
UGCAGUCGGGCGGUAGCACAGAGGAGCUUGCUCCUUGGGUGACGAGCGGCGGACGGGUGAGUAAAGUCUGGGGAUCUGCCUGAUGGAGGGGGAUAACUACUGGAAACGGUAGCUAAUACCGCAUGACGUCUUCGGACCAAAGUGGGGGACCUUCGGGCCUCACGCCAUGAGAUGAACCCAGAUGGGAUUAGCUGGUAGGUGAGGUAACGGCUCACCUAGGCGACGAUCCCUAGCUGGUCUGAGAGGAUGACCAGCCACACUGGAACUGAGACACGGUCCAGACUCCUACGGGAGGCAGCAGUGGGGAAUAUUGCACAAUGGGGGAAACCCUGAUGCAGCCAUGCCGCGUGUGUGAAGAAGGCCUUCGGGUUGUAAAGCACUUUCAGCGGGGAGGAAGGCAAUAAACUUAAUAAGUUUGUUGAUUGACGUUACCCGCAGAAGAAGCACCGGCUAACUCCGUGCCAGCAGCCGCGGUAAUACGGAGGGUGCAAGCGUUAAUCGGAAUGACUGGGCGUAAAGCGCACGCAGGCGGUCUGUUAAGUUGGAUGUGAAAUCCCCGGGCUCAACCCGGGAACAGCAUUCAAAACUGACAGGCUAGAGUCUCGUAGAGGGGGGUAGAAUUCCAGGUGUAGCGGUGAAAUGCGUAGAGAUCUGGAGGAAUACCGGUGGCGAAGGCGGCCCCCUGGACGAAGACUGACGCUCAGGUGCGAAAGCGUGGGGAGCAAACAGGAUUAGAUACCCUGGUAGUCCACGCCGUAAACGAUGUCGACUUGGAGGCUGUGGUCUUGAACCGUGGCUUCCGGAGCUAACGCGUUAAGUCGACCGCCUGGGGAGUACGGCCGCAAGGUUAAAACUCAAAUGAAUUGACGGGGGCCCGCACAAGCGGUGGAGCAUGUGGUUUAAUUCGAUGCAACGCGAAGAACCUUACCUACUCUUGACAUCCAGAGAAGACUGUAGAGAUACGGUUGUGCCUUCGGGAGCUCUGAGACAGGUGCUGCAUGGCUGUCGUCAGCUCGUGUUGUGAAAUGUUGGGUUAAGUCCCGCAACGAGCGCAACCCUUAUCCUUUGUUGCCAGCGAUACGGUCGGGAACUCAAAGGAGACUGCCGGUGAUAAACCGGAGGAAGGUGGGGAUGACGUCAAGUCAUCAUGGCCCUUACGAGUAGGGCUACACACGUGCUACAAUGGCGCAUACAAAGAGAAGCGAGCCUGCGAGGGUGAGCGGACCUCAUAAAGUGCGUCGUAGUCCGGAUUGGAGUCUGCAACUCGACUCCAUGAAGUCGGAAUCGCUAGUAAUCGUAGAUCAGAAUGCUACGGUGAAUACGUUCCCGGGCCUUGUACACACCGCCCGUCACACCAUGGGAGUGGGUUGCAAAAGAAGUAGGUAGCUUAACCUUA